CAGCCGCCGCGGGAAUACGGAGGGGGCUAGCGUUGUUCGGGAUUACUGGGCGUAAAGAGCUCGUAGGCGGUUUGUCGCGUCUGCCGUGAAAGUCCGGGGCUCAACCCCGGAUCUGCGGUGGGUACGGGCAGACUAGAGUGAUGUAGGGGAGACUGGAAUUCCUGGUGUAGCGGUGAAAUGCGCAGAUAUCAGGAGGAACACCGAUGGCGAAGGCAGGUCUCUGGGCAUUAACUGACGCUGAGGAGCGAAAGCAUGGGGAGCGAACAGGAUUAGAUACCCCCGUAGUCCCUGUCUCUUAUAA
Molecule: ribosomal RNA, 301 nt
Filed under: uncultured bacterium
Lineage: Bacteria
Description: partial 16S ribosomal RNA
Rfam family: Bacterial small subunit ribosomal RNA
Source: RNAcentral